CUCCCUCCCACCAUCUCUCUUCUUUAAGGCUCCUAUCAUAUUAUCUAUCCCUAGUAUCACAGUUCUUUGUUUGUUACUGCCCUUCACAAAGUUUCAUUAUUUCUCACAUUAAUGCUGAAAAAGUUGAAAAAUGUGUGUUGGUUGACAUAUGUUUCACUUUCCAAAGAAAUGCACUGAGAAUGGGCCAAUUAGGAGAAAUCCAGCUGGAAAUGUGGCCAGACCAAUGGUGCAACGUCUUCCUGAACCACAGGAUGUCGCUCAGUGCUUGGAAGUUGGUUUAUUUGACACGCCUCCUUUUUAUUCCAACUCUACAAACAGCUUCCGAAACACAGUGGAAGGCAA
This 342-nucleotide small RNA is filed under the name Pongo abelii (Sumatran orangutan). RNAcentral describes it as "processed transcript". Lineage: Eukaryota; Metazoa; Chordata; Mammalia; Primates; Hominidae. The record is from RNAcentral.